GAUGAACGCUGGCGGUAUGCUUUACACAUGCAAGUCGAACGAAAGCUUUAGCUUUAGUGGCAAACGGGUGAGUAACACGUAAGAAUCUACCUUUAGGGGGGAAAUAACAAUUGGAAACGAUUGCUAAUACCCCAUAUACUGAAAAGUGAAAUAAUUUUUUGCCUAAAGAUGAGCUUGCGUCUGAUUAGCUAGUUGGUGAGGUAAUGGCUUACCAAGGCAACGAUCAGUAGCUGGUUUGAGAGGAUGAUCAGCCACACUGGAACUGAGACACGGUCCAGACUUCUACGGAAGGCAGCAGUGGGGAAUUUUCCGCAAUGGGCGCAAGCCUGACGGAGCAAUACCGCGUGAAGGAUGAAUGCCUGUGGGUUGUAAACUUCUUUUAUUAGGGAAGAAUAUAUGACGGUACCUAAUGAAUAAGCAUCGGCUAACUCCGUGCCAGCAGCCGCGGUAAU
This 452-nucleotide ribosomal RNA is filed under the name uncultured bacterium. RNAcentral's name for it is "bacterial SSU rRNA". It matches the Rfam family "Bacterial small subunit ribosomal RNA", at positions 28 to 524 of the family's 1533-position model. The record is from RNAcentral.